Molecule: long non-coding RNA, 1073 nt
Organism: Homo sapiens (human)
Lineage: Eukaryota; Metazoa; Chordata; Mammalia; Primates; Hominidae
Source: Ensembl
CAUUUGUGCUGCAUCAGGUAGAGGUGGGUACCCUCCCUUAUUUCUUUAAUAGUGUGGAGAUUAGCACCUGGCACAUCCCAGGAAUUGGGAAAGCCGCUGAGUACUCACACUGUAGUUAAGGCUGGUCCUGGCAGCAGAUGCCACUGAAACCUAAAACAUACACCAUCUCUGCUCUUUGAAGCCUGCAAACCUUCUGACAAAGAAGCAGCCUUGAAAAGACAAAAUGGAUCCAGCAGGGAAUUAGACAGAAAAUAUUUACAGACUCGGUGAACCAAGAGCUGGGUGUUCCGGGCUGUUGAAGAAAAUGGAGUAAUGGGAUAGAAGCUGCUUUCAACUUCCUGCUGAGGACCCAAGGCCAGGAAAAAAGAAAAUUUUUGGAUAUCAGAAAUCAGAACAGGCCUGGAGUUGGGGAAUAAAUUAGGAAAGACACGGACUCAAGCAAAGGAAGACAUCAGAAGUAGAGGUUGGCCAAAGGACAAAACUACAAAGCAGCAAUUGCAGAUUGAAUCAAAUCAUCAGCUACUGGACAUUACAACAUUCACCAUGGAGAGUAACAAUAAUAUGCAUUUAUCAGAACUUCACUAUGUGCCAGGCACAACAUUUUAUGGAAGAUGAACAGGUAGAUAGACAAACAGAUAUGAGUACAUAGCUAGGUAAGUUGGUAGAUAGGUAGCAGGAUUCUCUGUCUCCCUAUUCCUUCUGGUAAGAAGAUAAAAGCUAAUGACUUCAAAAGCAUAACUGUGCAUUCAAUAUUCAUAGAAAGGGUCUGUGUGUGGUAGGAAAGAGACACAGGACAGGCAUGCUUGUCAAUUAAAAGAUUACGGUAGUGUGGUAAACUAGCCUUAUAAGCCUGGGUGAGGAUUAUUGGUGCAGUAUUAACCCUCACAGGAAUAGAUACCCAGUUACGUUUUACUACUCCAGGCUGUUGAAGACAACUGGAAUAAAAAGUCAAGGCAGUGGCCAGAUGCAGUGGCUUAAGCCUGUUAUCCCAGCACUUGGGGAGGCCGAGGUGGGCAGAUCACCAGAGAUCAGGAGUUUGAGACUAGCCUGGCCAACGUGGUGAAACCCCACCU